This 595-nucleotide ribosomal RNA is filed under the name uncultured archaeon. Its description in RNAcentral is "bacterial SSU rRNA". It matches the Rfam family "Archaeal small subunit ribosomal RNA", at positions 1 to 594 of the family's 1478-position model. The record is from RNAcentral.
UUCGCCCUUUUCCGGUUGAUCCUGCCGGACCUGACUGCUAUCGGAUUGAUACUAAGCCAUGCGAGUCAUUGUAGCAAUACAAGGCAGACGGCUCAGUAACGCGUAGUCAACCUACCCUAUGGACGGGAAUAACCUCGGGAAACUGAGUAUAAUGCCCGAUAGAACACUAUACCUGGAAUGGUUUGUGUUUCAAAUGAUUUAUUGCCGUAGGAUGGGACUGCGGCCUAUCAGUUUGUUGGUGAGGUAAUGGCCCACCAAGACUAUUACAGGUACGGGCUCUGAGAGGAGUGGCCCGGAGAUGGGUACUGAGACACGGACCCAGGCCCUAUGGGGCGCAGCAGGCGAGAAAACUUUGCAAUGUGCGAAAGCACGACAAGGUUAAUCCGAGUGGUUUCUGCUAAAGGAACCUUUUGACAGUCCUAGAAACACUGUUGAAUAAGGGGUGGGCAAGUUCUGGUGUCAGCCGCCGCGGUAAAACCAGCACCUCAAGUGGUCAGGAUGAUUAUUGGGCCUAAAGCAUCCGUAGCCGGCUCAGUAAGUUUUCGGUUAAAUCUGUACGCUCAACGUACAGGCUGCCGGGAAUACUGCAGAGCUA